Long non-coding RNA from Bombina bombina (fire-bellied toad), 1181 nucleotides. RefSeq lists it as uncharacterized. NCBI's taxonomy places the organism in Eukaryota, Metazoa, Chordata, Amphibia, Anura, Bombinatoridae. The record is from RefSeq and is a predicted model, not a curated record. The transcript is spliced from 5 exons.
CUUCAAGUAGCUCAGCACUCAGCAGUUCUGAUUUGGCAUGGCAGCAGACAGUCACAGUGCCAUUUGUGGGAGUAUCUGCUUAAUGCAGUCCUAGCUCCGUGCAGAGAGAUACUGUGCUCUGCUCGUUAAACAAGAUUUAUAAGCCAGGGAGCUGUUCCUGCAGAGGGAGGUCACAAUGUAACUGGGAAAUCGGACACAAGCCCCUCACAGUCUCUUUCUUCUUGAAGGCUCCACCACCGCAUCCCUGUACCUCCUGGGAGGCAAAGAAGUACGCCUGGCACGCUUCAUGAUCCCUGGGGCCUAAAGUUCAAGAUAUCCAGCACAGAAGAAAGUUCUCCUCGAAGUCUGGAGGCAGGAAGAGGCCGAAUCCACUGGAACAGGACCCUAUAAAGGCAAGAGAGUAUAUAUCUAUACCGAUAUGUAAAAGAAGAAACAGCAGGGACUUGCGUUCACACCUCUAUAAGCAUAUUGUAAAAGGAGGAUCCGCACUCACUGGACCUGUAAAUGUCCAACAUUGUUGAAGCAAAUAAUGUGGGUUUCUGGAGCUGAAGAUAUCUCAUGGGAGAGUUGACUUGCAACAAGGGACUCUCUUCUCACCAUCAGACAAGACGCAACUACGACAAGACCGGCGGGAGGGACAUAAUUUUGGUCCUGAUUUCUCACUGAAUGCCACAAUUACCUCAUAGGAUUGAGGUUAAUUUCGAGUAUAUAUCUAUACCGAUAUGUAAAAGAAGAAACAGCAGGGACUUGCGUUCACACCUCUAUAAGCAUAUUGUAAAAGGAGGAUCCGCACUCACUGGACCUGUAAAUGUCCAACAUUGUUGAAGCAAAUAAUGUGGGUUUCUGGAGCUGAAGAUAUCUCAUGGGAGAGUUGACUUGCAACAAGGGACUCUCUUCUCACCAUCAGACAAGACGCAACUACGACAAGACCGGCGGGAGGGACAUAAUUUUGGUCCUGAUUUCUCACUGAAUGCCACAAUUACCUCAUAGGAUUGAGGUUAAUUUUGGUAAGCAUAUUGGCUUUCAUUCAUCCCUUUCUCAUGGCUUGAUCACAGUUGAGUAUACAUUGGCUCUCACCUAUCACUCUCUCACAGUUUGAUCACAGUAAAGUGUAUAUAACUGAGUGGGACUGCAACCUUGGACAUAUACUUUGUUCUAAAAAAAGACUUUCUUCUAGUGCG